GACGAACGCUGGCGGCGUGCCUAAUACAUGCGAGUUGAGCGAUGAAGAUUGGUGCUUGCACCAAUUUGAAGAGCAGCGAACGGGUGAGUAACGCGUGGGGAAUCUGCCUUUGAGCGGGGGACAACAUUUGGAAACGAAUGCUAAUACCGCAUAACAACUUUAAACAUAAGUUUUAAGUUUGAAAGAUGCAAUUGCAUCACUCAAAGAUGAUCCCGCGUUGUAUUAGCUAGUUGGUGAGGUAAAGGCUCACCAAGGCGAUGAUACAUAGCCGACCUGAGAGGGUGAUCGGCCACAUUGGGACUGAGACACGGCCCAAACUCCUACGGGAGGCAGCAGUAGGGAAUCUUCGGCAAUGGACGAAAGUCUGGCCGAGCAACGCCGCGUGAGUGAAGAAGGGUUUCGGAUCGUAAAACUCUGUUGGUAGAGAAGAACGUUGGUGAGAGUGGAAAGCUCAUCAAGUGACGGUAACUACCCAGAAAGGGACGGCUAACUACGUG
RNAcentral lists this ribosomal RNA (497 nucleotides) under uncultured bacterium. Its description in RNAcentral is "partial 16S ribosomal RNA". It matches the Rfam family "Bacterial small subunit ribosomal RNA", at positions 28 to 507 of the family's 1533-position model. The record is from RNAcentral.